Molecule: small nucleolar RNA, 190 nt
Organism: Cavia aperea (Brazilian guinea pig)
Lineage: Eukaryota; Metazoa; Chordata; Mammalia; Rodentia; Caviidae
Gene: SNORA73
Rfam family: Small nucleolar RNA SNORA73 family
About the family: U17 (SNORA73A and SNORA73B) also known as E1 belongs to the H/ACA class of small nucleolar RNAs (snoRNAs). Vertebrate U17 is intron-encoded and ranges in length from 200-230 nucleotides, longer than most snoRNAs.
Source: Ensembl
CCAAGGUGGAUACCCGGGAGGUCACUCUCCCCGGCUCUGUCCAGGUGGCGUAAGGGAGUAUAGGGCUCUGCCCGGUGAUGUCCAGUCCCUUUCCGCCACGCUAGGCCUUGUGUCUGCGCCUGCAUAUUCCUACAACUUAUCAGAGUCUUUUGGGCAGUGACUGCGGAGGUAAAGCAUGCAGGAAACAGUG